Molecule: transfer RNA, 82 nt
Filed under: Colletotrichum chlorophyti
Lineage: Eukaryota; Fungi; Ascomycota; Sordariomycetes; Glomerellales; Glomerellaceae
Rfam family: tRNA
About the family: Transfer RNA (tRNA) molecules are approximately 80 nucleotides in length. Their secondary structure includes four short double-helical elements and three loops (D, anti-codon, and T loops).
Source: Rfam by way of RNAcentral
UCCUCGAUAGUCUAGUGGUGAGGAUAUCGGCUUGUCAUUCAUCGAUUCGCCGGGGACCGGGGUUCAAUUCCCCGUCGAGGAG